RNAcentral lists this ribosomal RNA (305 nucleotides) under uncultured bacterium. RNAcentral describes it as "bacterial SSU rRNA". It matches the Rfam family "Bacterial small subunit ribosomal RNA", at positions 337 to 639 of the family's 1533-position model. The record is from RNAcentral.
CCCUACGGGAGGCAGCAGUGAGGAAUAUUGGUCAAUGGGCGGGAGCCUGAACCAGCCAAGUCGCGUGAGGGAAGACGGUCUUAUGGAUUAUAAACCUCUUUUGUCGGGGAGCAAAGAGGCCACGUGUGGUCAAAAGCGAGAGUACCCGAAGAAAAAGCAUCGGCUAACUCCGUGCCAGCAGCCGCGGUAAUACGGAGGAUGCGAGCGUUAUCCGGAUUUAUUGGGUUUAAAGGGUGCGUAGGCGGGACGGUAAGUCAGCGGUAAAAAUGCGGAGCUCAACUCCGUCGAGCCGUUGAAACUGUCGU